CGGGGUGUAGCUCAGCCUGGAUAGAGCGCUUGGUUCGGGACCAAGAGGUCGCUGGUUCGAAUCCAGUCACCCCGA
Molecule: transfer RNA, 75 nt
Filed under: Phycisphaerales bacterium
Lineage: Bacteria; Pseudomonadati; Planctomycetota; Phycisphaerae; Phycisphaerales
Description: tRNA-Pro
Rfam family: tRNA
About the family: Transfer RNA (tRNA) molecules are approximately 80 nucleotides in length. Their secondary structure includes four short double-helical elements and three loops (D, anti-codon, and T loops).
Source: RNAcentral